This 888-nucleotide long non-coding RNA is filed under the name Monodelphis domestica (gray short-tailed opossum). RNAcentral describes it as "lncRNA (ENSMODG00000033978.2)". Lineage: Eukaryota; Metazoa; Chordata; Mammalia; Didelphimorphia; Didelphidae. The record is from RNAcentral.
AGACAAGCUCCCUGCAUGAUUGGCUUCAAAGUGUCUGGUGCCAAACAACUAACAGAGGCGCAAAAAGUAGAAGCCGUGCAUUUACAGCCCAGCGAAAGGGAGGCAGACAGAACGCGAGCUACCCGGGGCUCCUCAGAUGCUGGAGUCUCUCUCUACCUUUGCACGGCUCUCUCGACGUCUUAGGAGCAUUUAAGCAUGCCAGCCCAGGAGAUCAGAGACACUCAGCCCAGCUGAAAACAAGUGAGAGAGAACAAUUAGAGAGGGGGCUCAAUUCUCAAAAGUGAGCCCGCUCCUUGAUCUGCAAAGCGGAAGCAGCCGCAGCAGCUGUGAGCAAGAAAAAGGUGAAAUUUACCAAGAAAGAACUCGUCUCUAUUCCAGUCUAUUGAAUCCCAGUCAUGGCAUCCGUCUUGGGAAACAACAGAGGGUCUGGAGGGCUAAGUAGUCAACUCAAAUGCAAGUCGAAAAGGAGGAGGAGAAGAAGAUCAAAGAGAAAAGGCUGGCUCCCAGGGAAAUACCAUGCCAGUGUUCCACAGAUUUCACUGGAUACCAGUCAGUUUCUUCUGGCAGAUUGAAGAGAAUAGACUGAAGAAAGAAUCACAAUCAGAUUGUAGAGGCCAUCAAGUGCAAGCUUCUUUUUGCACAAAAGGAAACAAGUUAAAAUGGUUGUCACUUCUCCAUGGUCAUAUAGCAAGCAUCCUGACCAUUUUUGGAGAUGGAGAUACACAUGCUGUAUUUGACCAUCUGUGCAUCCUACCUUCUCAUAUGACAAAGGCAGAACAAUUAUUGAAAGAGAUGGUGAUGUGGGUGAAUGUUAUUAUUCAGAUUAUAUUGGCUCCUGGCAUAAUAGAUAAGGCUACUGGGUUUGAUAUCAGGAUGACCAGGGUGUAA